Molecule: ribosomal RNA, 346 nt
Filed under: uncultured bacterium
Lineage: Bacteria
Description: partial 16S ribosomal RNA
Rfam family: Bacterial small subunit ribosomal RNA
Source: RNAcentral
CCUACGGGUGGCUGCAGUGAGGAAUAUUGGUCAAUGGGCGCGAGCCUGAACCAGCCAAGUCGCGUGAGGGAUGACGGCCCUACGGGUUGUAAACCUCUUUUGCCGGGGAGCAACGGGCGCCACGUGUGGCGCCACGGAGAGGACCCGGAGAAAAAGCAUCGGCGAACCCCGUGCCAGCAGCCGCGGUAAUCAGGAGGAUGCGAGCGUUAUCCGGAUUUAUUGGGGUGAAAGGGUGUGUAGGCAGAUCGUUAAGUCAGGGGUCAAAUUGAGGGGCUCAACCCCUUCCCGCCAUUGCAACUGGCGCUCUUGAGUGGAAGAGAUGUAUGCGGACUGCGUGGUGUAGCGG